GAGUUUGAUCCUGGCUCAGAUUGAACGCUGGCGGCAUGCCUUACACAUGCAAGUCGAACGGCAGCACGGGAGCUUGCUCCUGGCGGCGAGUGGCGAACGGGUGAGUAAUGCAUCGGAACGUAUCCUGGAGUGGGGGAUAACGUAGCGAAAGUUACGCUAAUACCGCAUAUUCUGUGAGCAGGAAAGCGGGGGACCUUCGGGCCUCGCGCUCUUGGAGCGGCCGAUGUCGGAUUAGCUAGUUGGUGAGGUAAAGGCUCACCAAGGCGACGAUCCGUAGCAGGUCUGAGAGGAUGAUCUGCCACACUGGAACUGAGACACGGUCCAGACUCCUACGGGAGGCAGCAGUGGGGAAUUUUGGACAAUGGGGGCAACCCUGAUCCAGCCAUGCCGCGUGAGUGAAGAAGGCC
Molecule: ribosomal RNA, 407 nt
Filed under: bacterium enrichment culture clone ALO1_GLFRUDD03F1IOT
Lineage: Bacteria
Description: bacterial SSU rRNA
Rfam family: Bacterial small subunit ribosomal RNA
Source: RNAcentral